CUCUCUUUGUUAAUAAUAAAUAAGGAGUUGGGCCUGCUCGGUGAAUAUUUUUUAACAGCUGCGGUAUUUUAACUGUACUAAGGUAGCAUAAUAAUUUGCCUUAUAAUUUGAGGCUAGAAUGAAUGGUUUGACGAAGGUUAAUCUGUCUCCGUUUUAUUUUUUAGAAAUUAAUUUUCAUAGUGAAAAAGCUUGAAUUUUUUAAAGGGACGAGAAGACCCUAUUGAGCUUAUAAUUUUAUUACUAUUGUGUUUUGUUGAAUUAUCAUCAUAGUAUAUAAAUUUUAAUUGGGGUGAUUAAGGAAUAAAUUUUAUGGUAUAACUUCCUUAGAUUAAUAUAUUGUUAGAUGAGUACCGAUAUAGUUAACAUAGUGUGUUUAGAGUAUUUGCUUUAUAAUAUUAGUUUACCAUAGGGAUAACACGUAAUUUACUUAGAGAGUUCUUAUUGAAAAGUAAGAUUGCGACCUCGAUUGUGGAUUAAAGUAACCUUAAGGUGCAGAAGCUUUAUAAGGUAAAUCUGUUCGAUUUUUAAAACUUUAC
RNAcentral lists this ribosomal RNA (536 nucleotides) under Uroteuthis edulis (swordtip squid). RNAcentral's name for it is "partial 16S ribosomal rRNA". It matches the Rfam family "Bacterial large subunit ribosomal RNA", at positions 1816 to 2599 of the family's 2925-position model. Lineage: Eukaryota; Metazoa; Mollusca; Cephalopoda; Myopsida; Loliginidae. The record is from RNAcentral.